CAUAUGCACACACACUUGAGCACACACAUGCACAUGCACACACAUACACAACAAUCAAUAAAUGGCUGUAACUUGGGAGAAUAUUAAGACUCCCUAAUCUAAAAGUUUAGUGUGGAGGAAGCAGACACCUAGUCACUGGUAGUGUAACUAAUUUGCAUAAGCAUGUUUAGUAAUGGCUUGCACUGUAAAGUCUAAUUCCAGGUUUUGCUGCAAAGGCUGAGGUGCGUGCGUGCAUGCGUGUCUGUGUGUGUGUGUGUGUGUGUGUGUGUCUGUGUGUGUGGUCCCAUCUCAUGUGCCUGUGUUAUGUUGAUGGCUCUUAGGAAUUUAGCUGGACUGGCUGGCCAGCAAGCCUCAGGGUCCUGCUGCCUCUGUCUUAGCAACCCUGGAAGUACACAUGUGCUGCCCCUUUUGUGGGUGCUGGGCCUCAAGCCUGGGUCCCAUGCUUGUGCUGCAAGCAUUUCAUCACGCCCCAAGUUUUGUUUGUUUUAAGCUACCACUCAGUGGUGAUUAUCAAAGGCAAUAAGACUAUGGGAAUCACAGGACUAAUAAAUUACCACAGUGUCCUGAGAAACAGCAAAAUACAAUGCCAAAAAAAAAAAAAAACCCUAGAUUUUUACUCAAACACCAAUACACAGGCUUCUAAUUCUUCACGCUGGAUGGAAGCGAGUGAAAAUGAGUGAAAGACGUAAGGAAGCCCAACCCAGCUGGGCACACACUACAGCAACGGGGAAGACGGUGGCACCCUGUACUCACCCAGCUUCUAAUCUGCAAUCUCCUGCCAUUGAGCAAAACAAAGCGGAACUGGGAAAGGACCAUUUUUGUGGUGGGAAACAGACUUGGAGUUGCUUAUAUUUCAAAAAGUUAAACCUUCAAAAGCUUUAAAACGCAAAUGGAGAGGAAGCCACACACUUUCCCAAAGUUAUAAAGUUGUUUGUGAUGUGCAGAGACAAAGGAAUCUACAAAUGUUCCUGUGCUAAGCACAGAAAUCACAUAGAUAUAACUUUCACAGAGUUCAGAGGAAAGAAAUUGUAUGCAUGGGUAAUUCAAUCCAACCCCACCCCCACCCCUGCCGCCCCCUGUAAUCCACUGGCAGUGUGUAGAGUUUAAGGCAAACCAGAGAGAGAAAGAGGCGAGCACACCGGCAGCGCAGGUACAGCUCCGAUGCACAAGGUGAGACCCAGCGGUGCCGGUGGACCAAUUCUGGGAAUGCACAAAAGUCACUUUCCACUCCCUCACCAGAAGAGCCUCAGCGUCAGGAACGACUUCCAAAUGACCGGGAGGCUCGAGCAAGAAGCUGAGCAUCCUCCCUGCUGCCUGUGGCCCAGGCGUGGGGUGGGGCGGGUGCUGGGUGUGUGCUUGGUGGCUCUAGAGCCGGCUGCUAUGCCUUUGGAGCCCUGCAGACGCUCAGUUCGCCCCGUGCAUCAUGAAAGGACACCCUGCCGUCUCUGUCUCUGCAACACACCUGGAGGGGCAUGUUCCCUGAAGCACCAGAGUUGUCCGGGAAUACAAAAUCUGUUCCAUAGAUGUGCAGCAAACGUCUUUUAAAAGAAGCGAGUUAAACCACUGGAUUGCCCUUCUUACAAACAGAUUGGCUCUGGGAACGAUCAGCAUCCUCGCUGGGACAAGCGAUGCGAUGGCUAUGACGCUUUAAAGGUCCUUUUCUUGACCACCACGCUAGGUCACCCUACCCUUAGAGGCUCUCCUGGUCCUAGCUGAGCCCUGGGGUCAGGCGAGGGCGAACCAUCCCGCUGCCUCCCGCCUCCACUUCGCGGCGACACGCAUCGGGUGCCGCUGUCUAGGCGGGGCAGCCCCAUGCGUCCCCGCGGGGACAGUGCCCACUCCACAGAGCCCCGGAACCUCCGGCGGAUGCCUGGCACCCGGCCCGCGCCCCCUCCAGGGCGAGCGCCCCGCACCUGUGUCGCCUGCUUCGGCCGCCAGACUCGGGAGCACGUCCGCCCGCACGUCGAAGUGGGUGAGCAGCCGCAGAGCCAUGGCCCUUUGCAAGCACCGGGCGGGCGGACAUUCCGGGCCCGGCGCCCACCUCCCAGCCCUGCAGCCUCCUCUCCUUCCUCCCCGCUUCCCCGCAGCUGCUUUCGGUUCUGGGCGGUCCAGCCUGGAGAUCCCGAGCACCGCCCCGCCCAGGCUGCAGCCUGUGCCAGCAAGGCCCUGACGACCGGCCGGGUGGCUUAGCCUGCGGCUCCCUGACCGAUCAUCAACACGGGCCAGGCUUCCUUCUCCAGACUCAGGUCAUUUCCACCACUUAGCUAGGGCUGGGUCACUGGAGGAGAUCCAGGGUUACCACAAAAGCCCCUGGUGUCUUGGGCCAGUUCUACUGAGCAGGCUACCGUGUUUUUAGCUGUAGCGUUUCAGUAAUAAACAGCAGCAGGGAGCAUGUAAACUGUGUGGUGACAUCGAGGAGGAGGGUUAGCUUGCCAGCUUGGGUUCUCUGUCUUUCCGUCCCUGCAGUAACUAACUGGCUUGAGGAAGCUGGUUGUCGUGGAAUGGCCACUGAAGAGCUUUGUGGGCACUUUCGUUCUUCCAGGGUUCCUCUACAAGUAAAUCCAGCGUUUUCAUAAUCUAGCACUCGGGCUUACUCUGCUCAAAUAAUUCACCGUAGUAUGCUUGGCCCUGUGACAUGUCAUCCACCCUGUACGUCAACUCCUGGUUAUUAAUUACUGUUGCUAAAACUGAAACAGCCUUAUCGUACACAGUGUCACAUGCUUACAAUCCUCGAACUUGGGAAGCUGAGGCAGGAGAAUAGCUUCGAGGUCACAGUCAGCCUGGGCUAGAGAGAGAGAGACUUGGUGUCAAAACAAAACUCAUAUCUCAAGGAAGAAGACCAACAACUUACUGCCCUAGAAAAAAAAAACUGCCUGGUCUUUUUGCCCAACCCUGAGCCCUUUCUACCUAGAACUUGAACUCCUAGACCCUGUGGGAUGUUCCCACUCUCCUCCUGCCUAGAACAAUUCCCAGGUGAGCCCAGCCCUGCUCCACAGAGCCUCCUCCUCACACUGCAGCCUUCCUGACCCUACUGUGUCAUUGCUAACGCAUUUAAUUGCACCUGAGGUAGAUUUCUGAGAUAUUGAAAUUCAGUUUUGAGUCUUGAGGUGCCUCUUCUGCCCCACCAAUGGCUGAAGAGGGCGCCUGGGAGAGUGUAUGGUUGUAUUAAUAACCUGAAGAAUGUUUUCUUCACUUAGGUCUCAAAGUUGCGAUUUCACAAGUAUGGGUACCAGAAUUACCCUGAGGAUCUGUCUUAGAGUGCAGGCUGUUUUCUGGCUUGGAUCUCAGAGAUGGUUUCCCCAAGUCUUGGAACCCAAUCAGCCCCUUCCCUCCAAGGCUUAAAGACCAUUGAGGGAAGACUGUAAGAACCAGAGGGCACAAGGACUGAGCCUGAACAGCAUCUCCCUGACAUGCAUGGGUGCUGUUCUCACAGCAGCGCUGGUUGGCUGCACAAGACCUCUAAAAGAUCAGGCCAUCAACACCGCCAGCAUAGGAGUGGGAGGGAACAUGAACUCUUGACAGCUGAUGACUUCUGGGAAGAGAGAGCCAGUUUUCUUUAAGGGUAGGUCUAAAAGAACGUAUUUUAAAUAAACUCAUAUGUACUGAAUAAGAUAAACUUUAAAAACCAGAAGCAAACUUGGCAUUUGGGGAAUUAUGCCUUUGAAAGUAUGGUCAAGAACUUCUUGAAAUUCAUAGAAGUCAAUUAAAAACAUUAGAUUCUAGAUAGUACAUGACAAAAUUCAUCUGCACUGCCUAGAAAAUAAUUAAAGUCUGGACCAAAAAUACAAUAGUCCUUUACAAUGAGGUGGUUUGUUAUGUAGGUAUUAAGAAUGCUGCUUUCUUAUUAAAAUUUACUUUUUUUUUCCUGAGACAUUUUCUGUUGACAGCCCUUGCUGUCCUAGAAUUCGCUCUGUAGAUGAGGCUGACCUUGAACUCACAGAGAUCUACCUGUUUCUGUCUCAUGAGUGCUGGGAUUAAAGGCGUGAGCCACCAAGCCUGACUGAAAUUUACUCUUAAUAGAAAUAGAAAAUAUAUUUACGAAGUAAAUAUUUACCAAGGUAGUCACUAUGACUUUCCAAAACCCAUUUGCACCAGUCAGGAGGGAACAGUUCCUCUUGGUUGAUGUUGGACUGGCACUCAGAGCUGAGUUCCCAAGGAGUUAAUAAAAACCAGAAUUAACCAUAAAUGAAACGCAGAGGUUUUAUUCCUCACCCACCUGGGGGAGGGUAGUCCAAAGCUCAGAGGGCAGGUUCCUGCAGUCCCCAGGGCCUGAGCUCAUUUUAGCUCGUGUUCUAUCAGACUUUGACUAAACAUUUGUCCUCAUGGGUCAAGGUGAUAGUGACCGUUCAACCAUCAUACUUACAUCCUAGAAAUCAAAAGGAAGAUGGGGGUUAAAAGGAUACCUCCCGAAAGUUCUGCACACUUUUGAACUUUUCAACCAUUUUGGCUUAUAUAAUAUGGUUUGCAAUUUUGUGCUUUUAUGGAAUUUCUGUGUGUGUGUGCCUUGUGCUUUUUUUACCCCACACACACAUUUGUUUGUUUUGUCAUAUUCUGGUUUGUUUCUUUUAUUUUAUCUUAUUUAUUUAUCUAUCUUAGAUGCUUUCUUGUUUUCUAAUGAGAGAGAGCAUGAGAGGGUGUAGAUUUGAGUGGGUAAGGAGAUGGGAGGGUCUGGGAGGAGUUUGGGGGAAGGGAAACCAUAAUCAGAAUAUAGUUUAUGAAAAAAAUCUAUUUUCGAUAAAAACAAAAGUGGUGUUUAGAGUCUAUCAUUCCGUUUUAAGCGGCUGAUCUGAUUAUUAUUAAAAUAUAUCAUUUUCCAGUCUGCUUACUGUGUCUUACACAAAUUUCCAUUCUCCUCCUUCCCUUUCUACUCUUCGCUCCCUCCCCUUCUCUUUCUGAAUGAGCCCCUCCUGAAACCAUCGGGUCAGGCAAGGAAAAGUCUGCGCAGGUAGAACUGAGAGCAGGUGUUGGUCAACAUUCUAGAUGCCAGCAAGUUCAAACAGGAUAAAGAAAGAAUCUAGGCCAGGGUAUGUCCCCAGCAUACGAUGUCGCAUCAGAGGCUAUCUGAAUCGGGUAGGAAGGGCAGGAGGGAUCCAGACUAGGAAAUCGGAUGUGAGGCCCCUUACAGAACCAUCUUGGAGAACAUGCAGCAGCUAACCUCGAGGACUGGCGUCUUACCUGGGAAUGGAUCUGUUGAGUGAGCACAUUAAGAACAACAGGAAGACGCUAUGACCUGGUGAAAUAGGAAGCCAACAGCAGGAAGAGAUAAGGGUACGUACACCACACAGAUCAACUGGAAGUUUGAUGAGGAAAAGGAUGCCUAACUUCCAAAAUACUUAUUAAGUCUGGAAUAUGCCAUUUCGUCAAGUGAACACUAUCAGUGCAGAAUAGAUGGUCAUUCCAGAAUAGUAUCAGCUGAAAAAACAAAUGGCCUGGAUGUAAUCAUGAGGGAACAUCACACAAACCCAGCAGGAGACACACCACAUAAUAAUUGAAGUGUAAUCUCCAGAAGGAGGAAGGCUGUGAAGGCCAAGGAAAGACUGACAGGCUGUGCAAACAAGAGGACCCUAAGAAGACAUGACGAUAAACAUUCCACACAGCCUUCGCCUGGGCCCUUGUCCUGUCAAACGCACUAGUAGCCCAAAUGAAUAAAUCUGAGUGAAUUUA
Mesocricetus auratus (golden hamster) is the source of this 5664-nucleotide long non-coding RNA. RefSeq lists it as uncharacterized. The record is from RefSeq and is a predicted model, not a curated record. The transcript is spliced from 2 exons. NCBI's taxonomy places the organism in Eukaryota, Metazoa, Chordata, Mammalia, Rodentia, Cricetidae.